UAUUAAUCUAAAUAAAUCCAUAUUAAAAUUGCGUGUUGCGUUAUCUACGUUUGACUUGUUCUGCACGAAUUUUAUUAUAGUCCAAAAUUUACAUAUGUGUCUAUGAUUUUACAAUUAUAUUUUUAAUUCAAUAAAAAAGAAAUAUUGCAAUAUGGUUAUAUUUCCUUUCAUAAUAUUUAUCACAGAAUUUAAUAGGAAUUUUUUCUACCUUUAUUUUCACUCCGCGAAAAUCAAACUCUUCAUGUGUGUGUGUGUGCGCGCGCGCGCGCGCAACGUAGUGCAAAAUAUUUUUGUUAAAGAUAUAUAUUCACUAAAAAAUGUGUGUGUUUUUAUGUGAUAUGUUUCCCCCGCGAUUCUGUAAACCCUCGAUGACGAUUGAAAUAAAUAUCGCGAGAAUUACACGUUCCAUUAAAUGAUAGAAGCGUUAUACUAUCGAGAGGCGAGUUUAUUAUGUUAGAUCCGCCUCCAUGGUUCUUGACACACUUAGGUUAAAGAGCCCAUUACGGCACGGCUGAACGUUAGAGACUAUCACGUAACUAGGAAGAGCACGGCCGAGUACCAUCGAUGCGAGAUUUACGUCCUCCUGUCAUUCGAGAGCGCGCCGACUUCGACGAAUGCUUCUAUCAUAACGCGAAUGGAAGCCGAGAGUCGCUGGUUCUCGUCGGCGUUUAAAGUGCGGUGCCCGCUAAAGGAUGGAAACGUCAGCCUUUCAAGUCGAACUUGGUAUCGUGUUAAGGGUUCUCUCUUUUCCUCUCUUCCCAUCCCCGAUCGUGUUCCGCUUUCCGUUAACUUUGUUUCCUUUCUCUCGUCACCCUCCGAUCAAUUCCGCGAUAGUGAAUGACCAAAAUUCUAUCUAUUAUACUUCAACACGUCUUGAUUGGCCGUUGAAGCAGCCACCGGGUUUCAAGACCCUUGGUUUUUAUUUUUAGACUGAUUAUACACGAUACAUAAUACACAGAUGAAGAGCUUUUUCACGCAAUUUCAAUCUCCCUCGCGCCGAAAGGAAAAAGCGUACUCGGGGUUUAGGCGAAUGAGAGGCAGGAAUGAAGGACGAGAGGGCCACGUUCGGGAGAAAAGAGGGACCACCGGGAGACGUGAGCCGUGAAUAAACAUGGAAAUGCUUGUAAUUUUUACAACGCGCCGCUUUGUACCUCCGGUUCGUCGUCCACCGACAACUAUCCCAUCUCACCGAGAUCUGCUUACAACGCGUUUCUGUAACUUGGCGGAAUACUCGUCGAAAUCCUUGAGGCGAUAUCGCGCGAAAUAACCCGCGUCGGAACUUUCCCGGAGCAUUGCCCUGCUCCGGGAGAAAUUACGUAAUUUUACUUGGCGAUUAUAAAUUUCUGGCUUAAAUGCGGCAACUCGGGGCAUAACUCUAAUAUAAAUUAAGAAUGUUAAAAUCUACGAAAUAGCACGCGAGAGUAUAUGACAUUUCACAAAUAUUUCUGAGAUUCUCCCGGUAUUUUUUAUUCCGACGUCGAUCAUAUGUUUGCAACGAUUAUUGUAAGUUCUAUCUGUUUGAAAAUUAUACUCAAAGCAUCCCAUUCAACUGAUUUUAUCGACCGGUAGUAGACGAGUCUCACUCUUGCCCCUCCCGUUUUCGAUUUUCCUUCUCAUCCUCUCGCGAGUGUCGGUCAAUACGACAAAUCCGCCGGCAAUAAAACACCGACACGGCCGCUCUGCCGUUCCUCUUUUUUUGGCAUUUUCUCUCCCAUCCUUUGUCCCUGUUCCUCUUUUUCAUUUCGCGCUCCGUUUGUCUCGCUCGGUCUCGCCUUUUCGCUCCCCUUCCCUUUUUCUCUCUCUCUCUCUUUCUCUCUCUCUCUCUCUCUCUCUCUCUUCCUCACUGUCUUUUUUUGCAAAAGUACCGCUAGUAUGCACGUACGCGAGCAGCCUGUAUGGAUCGCGACUGCGUUGGUCCAACACCGAAUAAUAAAUUAUAGUCGGACUGUGGUGCGCGUGCACUCGAAUUUUCGACCAUGGGAAAACAGCGCGGGCAACGAUUCGCUCAUCUCCGACAAAAUAUUGAAAAGCGGUUCAAGAUAUCGAUAUAGCGUGAAAAUAGAGAAAUAUUCAUAUCAUCCCUGCAAUUUAAAAACAAAGAGAGAAACACAAAUCACUCCUUUAUCGAAGAACAAAUAACUCUUUGAUUAAUAGUCUA
Long non-coding RNA from Formica exsecta, 2158 nucleotides. RefSeq lists it as uncharacterized. The record is from RefSeq and is a predicted model, not a curated record. NCBI's taxonomy places the organism in Eukaryota, Metazoa, Arthropoda, Insecta, Hymenoptera, Formicidae. The transcript is spliced from 3 exons.